RNAcentral lists this ribosomal RNA (440 nucleotides) under uncultured bacterium. RNAcentral describes it as "bacterial SSU rRNA". It matches the Rfam family "Bacterial small subunit ribosomal RNA", at positions 29 to 506 of the family's 1533-position model. The record is from RNAcentral.
ACGAACGCUGGCGACGUGCCUAAUGCAUGCAAGUCGAACGCAGGGAGCUUGCUCCGCUGCGUGGCGCACGGCUGAGGAACACGUGGGAAUCAACCCCGGAGUGGGGGAUAUCGCCGCGAAAGCGGUGACAAUCCCGCAUACGGUCCGCAAGGACGAAAGGCGCAAGCCGCUCCGGGACGAGCCUGCGGCCCAUCAGGUAGUUGGUGUGGUAAUGGCGCACCAAGCCUUUGACGGGUGCCUGGUCUGAGAGGACGAUCAGGCAGACUGGGACUGAGACACGGCCCAGACUCCUACGGGAGGCAGCAGCAAGGAAUUUUCCCCAAUGGCCUAACGGCUGAGGGAGCAACGUCGCGUGCAGGACGACGGCCUUCGGGUUGUAAACUGCUUUUGGGCGGGAAGAUAAUGACGGUACCGCCCGAAUAAGCCCCGGCUAACUCCGU